AUUGUUUAAUAAUCAAUUAAGAUUGAUCCUGUCUUUGAUAAAAAUUAAAAAUUAGUUUUUAAGUAAUAUUAAAUAUAAAUUUUUGUGUGUUGGUUUAAAUAUCUUAAAGAUAUUUAGAAAGUUUAAUUGUAGUUUUUGAUUUUAAAAAUUAUGGUAACAUAGAUUUAGUUAAUUUAAUUAAGAGUUGUUUAAGGUUGUGCCAGCAUACGCGGUUACACAUCCAGCUCAAAUUAAUUUUUUU
This 241-nucleotide ribosomal RNA is filed under the name Narnia snowi. RNAcentral describes it as "partial small subunit ribosomal RNA". The record is from RNAcentral. Lineage: Eukaryota; Metazoa; Arthropoda; Insecta; Hemiptera; Coreidae.